This 214-nucleotide long non-coding RNA is filed under the name Elaeis guineensis (African oil palm). Its description in RNAcentral is "long non-coding RNA (EGUI_LNC007897)". Lineage: Eukaryota; Viridiplantae; Streptophyta; Magnoliopsida; Arecales; Arecaceae. The record is from RNAcentral.
CAAAUAAAUUAAAUAUUAAUUUUUUUAUGAUAUUUUUUAUUUUUUUAUAAGACGAGAAAGAUCCUAACCAUUCUUUAACAAAGAUAGUUAAGAAAAUUUUCUUUAGUAGGUUAAGAAAUUAGUUUAUUUUUUUUCUUUAGUUAUUUUCUAAAACUAUCUCCUAACCGUCAUCCAUUCCACCCCUUCUCUUCCUUCUCCUCACCUAAGUUUCAUG